This 432-nucleotide ribosomal RNA is filed under the name Cyaneolytta signifrons. RNAcentral's name for it is "partial large subunit ribosomal RNA". It matches the Rfam family "Bacterial large subunit ribosomal RNA", at positions 1930 to 2575 of the family's 2925-position model. Lineage: Eukaryota; Metazoa; Arthropoda; Insecta; Coleoptera; Meloidae. The record is from RNAcentral.
GCCGCAGUAUUUUGACUGUGCAAAGGUAGCAUAAUCAUUAGUUUUUUAAUUGAAAGCUGGAAUGAAUGGUCGGAUGAGGAAGUUUCUGUCUCAUUUUAAUUUUAUUUGAAUUUUAUUUCUGAGUUAAAAAGCUUAGAUUUUAUAGAAAGACGAGAAGACCCUAUAGAGUUUAAUGAAUUUGUAUUUGAAUUAUUAAAAGAUUUAAAAUUAAUUGAUUUACUAUUCAUUUUGUUGGGGUGACGUAAGAAUUGGAAGAACUUCUUAUAAUUUUAACACUGAUUAGUGGGUGAAGGAUCCUAAGUUGAUGGAUUACAAGAAUAAAUUACCUUAGGGAUAACAGCGUAAUUCUUUUAGAGAGUUCUAAUCGAUAAAAGGGAUUGCGACCUCGAUGUUGGAUUAAAGUUAAUUCUUGGUGCAGAAGCUAGGAUUUUG